AGAUCAUGUUGAGGUCCAACUUCUAAGAAAUCCCUUAUACAUUUCCCAUGCUUCAUACAAUGACUCUCCAACCUCUUGUUGAAAGUUAGCAAUCUUAUUUUUAAGCUU
Lactuca sativa (garden lettuce) is the source of this 108-nucleotide small nucleolar RNA. Lineage: Eukaryota; Viridiplantae; Streptophyta; Magnoliopsida; Asterales; Asteraceae. The record is from RefSeq and is a predicted model, not a curated record.